Molecule: ribosomal RNA, 468 nt
Filed under: uncultured bacterium
Lineage: Bacteria
Description: partial 16S ribosomal RNA
Rfam family: Bacterial small subunit ribosomal RNA
Source: RNAcentral
GACGAACGCUGGCGGCGUGCUUAACACAUGCAAGUCGAACGGCAAGGCCCUGCUUUUGUGGGGUGCUCGAGUGGCGAACGGGUGAGUAACACGUGAGUAACCUGCCCUUGACUUUGGGAUAACUUCAGGAAACUGGGGCUACUACCGGAUAGGAUCUCCUGCUGCAUGGUGGGGGUUGGAAAGUUUCGGCGGUUGGGGAUGGACUCGCGGCUUAUCAGCUUGUUGGUGGGGUAGUGGCUUACCAAGGCUUUGACGGGUAGCCGGCCUGAGAGGGUGACCGGCCACAUGGGGACUGAGAUACGGCCCAGACUCCUACGGGAGGCAGCAGUGGGGAAUAUUGCACAAUGGGCGGAAGCCUGAUGCAGCAACGCCGCGUGCGUGAUGACGGCCUGCGGGUUGUAAACCGCUUUCGCCUGUGACGAAGCGUGAGUGACGGUAAUGGGUAAAGAAGCACCGGCUAACUACGUG